CUACACGAUCAAAUUCUCGUUCAUCUACUCCCACACGUCGGAAUCCAUUACUGUCAUCUGCCUCAGGUCCUUCAACUUCAGUUGGGCGUGUUCUUUCAAAUGGGCGCACAUCUACACCAACAUCUCGACCAAGUUCCCCAGGGCCCCGAAUCCGGCCUCCACAACAGCCAGUUGUUCCUCCUGAUUUUCCCCUUGACACACCUCCAAACCUUAGAACAACUUUGCCAGAUAGACCACUCUCUGCUGGUAGGUCCCGGCCUGGUGCAGCAGUCACUACGAAACGGAACCCAGAAACUACAGGCCCAACAAAUGUGCCAAGACGACAUUCAUCUCCAAUUGUCUCAAGGGGAAGACUCUCAGAAGCCCCUGUAAAGGGUCGUGUUCAUUCCAAUGGGCAUGUAGUUGAUAUGUCUGAGCCUCGAAAAGUUUCACAUGUUUUGGAUUUGGGAAUGCGGAAAUCUGUUAAGUCAUCAUCAACUGCCACAGAGAGUACUGGGUUUGGGAGGACAAUAUCAAAGAAGUCUUUGGAUAUGGCUAUCAGGCACAUGUUAAUUCAAAUAUUUUAGCUGGAAACUUUAAGGGUGUGACGGGGGUUGAAUGAGCUCAGUUUUUCACGAGUGAGAGCUUGAACAUUUGGUGGCGUCAUGUAUAGAUCGUAAUGGAGCAUAAUGCAAUGAAUAAUUAAUAUUAUACCCCAUUAUGUUCUGUCAAACAUGCAAUGACAGAGCUUUAUCAUGUCAGGACAUAAGAAAUGGCACAGGAAGCACUCGUGUACUUUCAGGCACGACUCUUUUCCCUCAGAGCAUUCGAUCUGCUUCCAAAGCCCAAUCUGUUCGCUCUAUGAAUGCUUCAGAAUCCAUUAACAAUGGAGAUAUUUUGGAGAAUGGAAAACAUAUGAGCAGGCCUGCAGAAAUUGGAAGUGAAGCUAUGCAUGGAAGAUACUCUGCAAAAUUGAGUGAAGUUGACAUUUAUGAAAGCUCCCGGUAUGAUGCGAUAUUACUUAAAGAGGAUUUAAAGAACACCAACUGGCUGCAUAGUAUUGAUGAUAAAUCUGAUCAAGGGUCAAUCUUUGAUAAUGGAUUCGAGUCCCUGCCUGAACCAUUUGGCCCAUUAUAGCAUCAGAUGAGUGUUUUUUUCCCCCUCAAGAUAUUUAAUUUUUUUAUAAUUUUUUUUUAUUCUCUUAAAAUAUGUGCUUACUUGGAAAAAAGAAAUGAAAUAUGUGCUUACAUUACUUGUGCAGCACUUGAAUGAAUUAAAUGGUUUCACUGUUGGGCUUUUUUCUGUAUGCUCUAUAUGUGAAGAUUUGGAAGGGAAGAUUAAAGCAUUUUAAUUUUUAUAUAUGAAGCAUCAGCAGUUACUGAUUGUCCAGGCUGCUGGAGCCCUUUUCAC
RNAcentral lists this unclassified non-coding RNA (1389 nucleotides) under Hevea brasiliensis (rubber tree). Lineage: Eukaryota; Viridiplantae; Streptophyta; Magnoliopsida; Malpighiales; Euphorbiaceae. The record is from RNAcentral.